CACUACCAUUUUUAGCAUUGCUGAUAUUUUCUUUGUGUUUAGUACCAAUUUUCUCAGCAGUUGUGUUAAUUUGUGUGAAGUAAGGUGGUUAAGUGUUUAGUGUGGUGUAAAGUGCGAAAGUGGAGAUACAUUUGUGUUAGAACGCGCGUGUGCGACACUCACUAACUAACCGGAAACAC
Musca vetustissima is the source of this 179-nucleotide long non-coding RNA. RefSeq lists it as uncharacterized. Lineage: Eukaryota; Metazoa; Arthropoda; Insecta; Diptera; Muscidae. The transcript is spliced from 2 exons. The record is from RefSeq and is a predicted model, not a curated record.